RNAcentral lists this ribosomal RNA (253 nucleotides) under uncultured bacterium. Its description in RNAcentral is "partial 16S ribosomal RNA". It matches the Rfam family "Bacterial small subunit ribosomal RNA", at positions 524 to 776 of the family's 1533-position model. The record is from RNAcentral.
UACGAAGGGUGCAAGCGUUAAUCGGAAUUACUGGGCGUAAAGCGUGCGUAGAUGGUUUGUUAAGUCGAAUGUGAAAGCCCCGGGCUCAACCUGGGAACUGCAUCCGAUACUGGCAGACUAGAGUGUGGUAGAGGAUGGCGGAAUUCCCGGUGUAGCGGUGAAAUGCGUAGAGAUCGGGAGGAACAUCCGUGGCGAAGGCGGCCAUCUGGGCCAACACUGACGCUCAUGCACGAAAGCGUGGGGAGCAAACAGG